Vicugna pacos (alpaca) is the source of this 711-nucleotide non-coding RNA. Lineage: Eukaryota; Metazoa; Chordata; Mammalia; Artiodactyla; Camelidae. The record is from RefSeq and is a predicted model, not a curated record.
AAGUCAGAUUAUUACAAUGAUGACAUUUUAUUUUGACAUGUUUUUGAUCAGCUGAAACAAAAAGUAAAUAGCCAUUUAUCAAAUCUACACAAAAAGUAAAUAGCAAAUAACCUUUUAAAGGUAUUAAUCAAUAAACACAGGUCAAAGUUGUUACUGAACAAUUUUUUCCAUUACAAACAUCAGUUACAUCAGGGUCAGAAUGUUUUUCAGGUAUCUGGCAGCGUGGGAAUUAAAAAAAAAUUAACAAAACAUUGGUAUUUGGUAAACCUUAUUUAAAUAUAAAAUCACUUUUAGGUUAGUUCCUUGCAUUAUUAAAUUUACCACAUUAUAAAGUGCUAUCAGUGUCACCAUGGAGACAAAACCACUAAAAGAUUAUGUUGAGGAAGGAACAAAGUAGAAUAUGGGAGAGUGUGGUGAUAAAUAUUUAGACUGAAAAGUUGCUGGGCUCAGUGAGAGGAGAAGUGGGGAAGGGUAGAAGCUUAUGAAAUAAUUGUGUAACAUUUAGUAAAACUGAUACUUAAUGCUUUUUUCAACUUGUCUGGACUAUACCUUAUAGGCAGCAAAGGCCAAGUAGGUCAGAGUUGGCUAUGAGAAUUGUCCUGUUUUUGUGUUUGUUUUGACUGAACUAUAUAUACCUGACAGCUAGUUUCCUAAAAAAUGUUUGCAAAUCUAAUAUAGUAGUGCCAAAUUUCCUUCUUGUUAUUAAGUAAA